RNAcentral lists this long non-coding RNA (2002 nucleotides) under Citrus x clementina. RNAcentral describes it as "Citrus clementina (C. clementina) long non-coding RNA (CCLE_LNC000214)". Lineage: Eukaryota; Viridiplantae; Streptophyta; Magnoliopsida; Sapindales; Rutaceae. The record is from RNAcentral.
UUCCGUGGAUUCUUCGUUUUCUUGGAUGGGAAUCGAGGAUAGUAGAAUUUUUUAAAUAUUCUUAGGCUAAAGCCAUAUUGAUAAUAUUUCAUUUUUUUUGUUUUAAGAUUUCUUUAGUAUACACCAAUUUAAAAUUAAAAUUAAAAAAAAUUUCAACUUGGCACUAGCUAAUUAAAAAAAAAUUAUGUUUAUUAGUAUAAAUUUUAUCCCAAAUUAUCAGAUUAUGAUUUCAACCUAGGAUGGCUCUUAAAACUUGCUUGAGCUUCCUUUUUAUUGGAUGAACUCCCGAUGUGGACUUCUCAUGUUGUGCCUUUCAUUUUCAAGUUUAAUUUUGCUUAGUUGAAAUUUCUUCCAAGAGAUGUCCACUUAUUUAGUGAUGAAAAUGAUCUUGAUAAGAUAAUGCCCUACAAACAUAAGAAAAACAGUCAAAGGGCCAGCUUUAACGACGUAGACACUCUAGCGAUCAAGUUAAUCAUCGAAUUUUUAAAAAUCUAAAGUUCAGAGUGUGAAAAUUUAGAGAAAUAAAGCCUAGAGAGAGAAAGUCUUCUCUAGCCACUCUCCCCCAAGAUCUUUUUGUUUAAGGUCACUUUCUUCCAAGCAGUCCCUAUACCUCUCUAGAGGAGCCAGAAUCAGCUUCAUCGUCACUAGGAUCGCUUGAGUUCUCCCUUUCCUCAACUUGAGCUUGGAACUAAUAAAAAAUUCUAUCAAAGUUCGAAGCUAAUGAAUCCACUUUACUUUGGAUCAAGCUUGCCCUUGUCGUUAGGCAUCAUGAUGUGGAUUAGGAAAAGGAUGAAUGAGUACCAUGGCUUCAAAUGAUGAAUCCAUCAGUGGUCUUCUUCGUUGAAAAUGGGCUUCCUUAACCCUAGAACUCAAAGAUUCAAACACAGGGUCAUGAUACUCCUAGCUCAAAUCCAUGCUCACAGUUCCAAGACUUUUAGUCGGGAGUUCUCGUAGACAACGCCAAUUUUGUUGGUAAAAAUUUUGUCCCAAUUUAUAAAAUGGUAAUUUCAUGAGCUUCCUCUUUACUGGAUCAAACUAUGUUGAACUCUCAAUGUGGGCUUCUUAUGUUGUGCCUUUCAUUUUCAAGUUCAAUUGUACUCAUUUGAAUUUUCUCUUCAGAGUUAUCUGCUUCCUUAUGUGACGAGGAUGACCUUAAUUAGAUAAUGCUCUAUAAAUAUAAGUAAAAUAGUCAAAGGCUUGCCUCACCAGCGUAAACCCUUUGAUGAUCAAGUCGAUCACCAAAUUUUUAGAGAGAAAAGUUUAGAGUGAGAAAAUUUGGAGAUACAAAGCCUAGAUAGAGAGAGUCAUUAUUUAUCCUCUUGAGUGAUUUUUGGCUUAUCUUUGAAAAAAGAUGGAAACUUAUAUUUGUAAAUGACUUUGAUUUGACUUGAGUCCUUAUUGUAUUGACCACAAAUGUCAUUGUCUUUAUAACACCGGGCAACACUUGUCUUCUUGCGACCAUGCCAAGUAACACUUGGACAUACAACUUUGUCCUCAUAUCAAAAGAGGAAGUUUCUCCAUCCUUUUUGUUUGGUAGAGGAUAUAGUAUCAUUAUGCUUAGUUUUCAAAGGAAGAGAUGUUUUUAUCAUAGGUUUUCAACCUAGAAGUUUGUCUAAGGAGGUUUAUCUUUAGGAAAUUUGUCCUAAGAGGUUUUUUUCUAGAUAAAUUGUCCUAUGAUCAUGGGAUCUUAGGAACCUAAGAGUUUAUUCUAGGUAGCAUGUCUCCUAAAACCUAUUAGACUUAUCUUAAGAGGUUUUUCCCAUAAUCUAGGAAUCUAAAAGGUUUAUUUUGUUUCCUCUUAAUUAGUUGGUAAAACUAUAAAUGAAAGAGCGAGACAGAGAACAUUGAAGCAAAACCAUCCAUCCAAUUACACCAACAGAACAAGAACCUUUCAUUGUUAAAAUGUGAGUUGCUAGUGUUAUAUAUAUAUAUAUAUAUAUAUAUUAUAUCCUUCACUUUUAAUUCAUUCAACGUAUAAGAAUAUAAUAGUGAGUCUAUCACG